This is an unclassified non-coding RNA of Microcebus murinus (gray mouse lemur), 84 nucleotides long. Lineage: Eukaryota; Metazoa; Chordata; Mammalia; Primates; Cheirogaleidae. The record is from Ensembl.
GGCGCUGUCCUCCUGGACGCGCCGAGAGGCCGAUGCGGUGGACCUUCUCCCGAAGGCGGCCACUUCGCCUGGUCCCCGCACAUC